RNAcentral lists this small RNA (5024 nucleotides) under Pongo abelii (Sumatran orangutan). RNAcentral describes it as "retained intron". The record is from RNAcentral. Lineage: Eukaryota; Metazoa; Chordata; Mammalia; Primates; Hominidae.
CUCACCCCCGAGACGCUAUCCCCUGGUGUCUGCUUCCAACUCGGGAUUAAUUCGAGGAUCUCUUAGUCCUCGGUUAAUGUUUCCCAACCAAACGCGUGCACCCUUCCAACCUUGCUGUCGAAACCGAACGAGACCCUGGUAGAGAAAUCUGCAUGAGCGGGGUUCCGUGCAGAUGUGUUCAGUGGUGGUUGCGGCCCCUGCGCUGUACGUGCAUGGUGCAUGUCCUCUUCGUGAGCUGGAGCCUCUCCAGUGACCUCACUGCCCCCACCCGGGGCCAGCUGUCUUUGGAAGGGGGCAGCAUCUCCCAACCCUGCCUGGCCCUGCUCCACCCCGCCCUGCCUGCGUGUGGAAUGAAACAGGACCACGUCCCGUCUGUCCUUGUGGGUCCUCCCGUCUCCGUCCUGGUGGUCGCCGUCCCGGUGGUGCAUCCAGCCACAUUGGUGGACCUUCCCUUUGCUUGUCCCGUUGUGUCAUUGGCCGCGGUGGGUCAGGGUCCUGGAUGCUGCCGCCCCUCACUCAGCCCUCCACUCUGUUGCAGAACCGCAUGCACGAAUCCCUGAAGCUUUUUGACAGCAUCUGCAACAACAAAUGGUUCACAGACACGUCCAUCAUCCUGUUUCUUAACAAGAAGGACAUAUUUGAAGAGAAGAUCAAGAAGUCCCCGCUCACCAUCUGCUUUCCUGAAUAUACAGGCCCCAGCGCCUUCACAGAAGCCGUGGCUUACAUCCAGGCCCAAUACGAGAGCAAGAACAAGUCAGCCCACAAGGAGAUCUACACCCACGUCACCUGCGCCACAGACACCAACAACAUCCAGUUUGUCUUUGACGCUGUGACGGACGUCAUCAUCGCCAAAAACCUGCGGGGCUGUGGACUCUACUGAGCCCGGCCACCCUGCCCGGCACCCUUGCCCUGCCUGGCCUGCCGCCCCCCCUCCCCUGGAACCAGGCUCCACCACUCUCAGACCACUCUUUGCACUUGAGGAAGAAGACCUCAGAGGCUGGCACCAAGGGAGGGAGGAGGGAGCAUCCUCCACCCACACCCCCCCAGCAGAACUCGUGGUAACGCAGGCGCGGGGCGGGGCUGCUGAGUGCAUGCUGCAAGGCCAGGAGACUCCGCGCUCACAGCCUCUGUGUCAUCUCUGAGUGCUUUAUCGGGAAGCUGGGGGGGCAGGGCAGGGCCGCCGUGUGGCCCAGAUGGGCACACCCUGCACCUGAUGACUCACUGGAAGCCUCGGAGUGUCCUGCUGUCAUCUUGGGUGGUACAGUGGCGCAGAUGGCCCUGCAGCAGGGUGCUGGCAGGGUGGGGUCAUAGGAGCCAUCCUUCAGCUUUGCCUGGGGUCUCUGGUGGAGGGCAGUUCCGUCAACAAAAGCCAGGGUGGGAUCAGGCCAACUUGGUAUGGGUUGGAGGACUCAGGCCUUGGCGAUGGCCUCUGUCUCCCUGCUCCCUCCCCUGGGUCUCAGCCCUUCCUUCUCUGGGGUCAUCCUCCCUUGCCUUUGCUCUCCCAGAGAACUCCCAUCCCUGACUCCUCUGAGUCCUGGAAAUGCUUCUUGAGACUGACUUAUGGCUCAGAUAGAUGGUGGCGGGGAGGGGGGCAGGGAGAGGUGGGAGGCGCGAGGAAGGGAGGUGGAAGCUCCUGUGUCACCUGGGCUGGGGCCUCCCGCCCAGUCCUUGCAGGCCAAAGGUGACCCAUUUCCUUUUUCCAGUCACCAGGAGCUCGGAUGGUCACUCUGAGGUGUGAAUAGAUAUGUUUUUUCUUCAGUCCACACUGAAUUCAACUCAAACCAGCAAAGGCCUUUGGGCUGGGGAUUCUGUAGUUGCAGAGGUCUAGUGGGGUGGACCUUUGCAGCCAGUGCCCCCACCUCACUGUCUUGGUGAAGAAAUCAGGGAGUUUGUCCACAGCUGUUGGUGUCUUCCCAGCCCCUGGGGACAGAGGACAGCAGGGGGAUGGAGCUGACACCCUGGAGUAUUUGGGCCCAGGCCAGCACAAACACACCCCCCUGUCCCCCACUCUAAAGGGAGAGUCCUGGGACCCCUUAGAGGAGGCUUCCCUGCCGAGAUCCCUGAGGAGAAGGGGGCGGGGUAGCUUCUCCUGGUGACGCAGGUCUGGCUGGCCUUGGGCAACCAACACACCUCUCCCACUCCAAGAUGCCUCCAGGUGAGGCCAACGCCCACACCCAGGCUAGUCGUGUGAUUGUACAGCAGGCUGUGCCUGGGGACCUAGAUGUGCCGCGGGAGGGAGGAGGGUACCCCCUGACAGGCCUCUGCCUCCCUCCUCAAGCCCUCUGUUCUCCCUGCCCCCGCUCUGGACACUGCUUAGUCCCCAGCCAGGCAGGGCCCCUGGGUUUCCACUUGCAGCCCCGGGACUGCCCCAGAGCCAGGAAGCACCAGUGCCAACAGCUCUGGACUUGUUGGACCCACAGGCACAGAGCUCUGAGUGGUGCCCAGGAGACCCAGGGACCUUCCCUAGUGCCAAAUACCUGCAGAGACCGGUGCCUGGGGAGCCUCUGGCAGCCAGACUGCAGGAGCCACCCCAUCAGCCCAAAUCCACCUCUGUUUUGUUCACCUCGGUCAUGUUUUGGACUUUGCACCGGGUGCUGGGACGUGGCAGAGGACAGGCCCUGGGAACCAACAGUGUCUUACCAUGGACAGCCAGGGCCAGCUAAGCCAUCCCACCCAACAUGGAAGACAUGGCAGUUAUUUCUCAGCAGUACCACGCUGGGUGAGGCCAGCUGUUCCCCUAACUCUGCUCCAAACUGCAACCCCAGGCUCAGAAGCAGCCGGCAAAAGGGGGAUGCUGGCCACGCUCCACCUCUAAGGCCAUCACCUGGAGGUGGAAGUCUCUGGGCUGGAGGGCUCUCCAUGUCCCCCAGCAGCCGCCCUCAGACCGCAGUGGCCAGAGUGCCAGGCUGGGUCCAGGCCUCCGAUCCAGGCCUUCCCUGUCCGUAGAAUUGGGGCUGGAGGAGUGGGUGCUCAGCCCUUCCUGCCCUCCAUCCGCAGCCUGCCUUUCUCUUCCUUUGGAUGCUCCAUCCUCCUCGGUUUCUUGCACUGCUCUCAAUCCUCUCACCCUGGCCUGGGGGGGGUCCUUGGUCCUCAGGGGUAUCCAGGGAGAAAUUCUCUCCCUGUGCAUGACGACUGUCAUCCAUGUCGUAACCGGCGGCUCCACCUUGUGGGGUGGUGACUGAGGGUGACAGAUGAGAUUUGGCCCCGUCGUGGAUGUGGAUGUGGGAGGAAUGUUGUGAGUGACACGUGUGGGUUUCUAAUCCACAGUGGUCCUGCGUGUGCCCUGAGGGGCCAUGGUAACUUCUCCUAUGGCUUGGAUUUAGCAGGCCAAGCAGAAACUGAUUUCUACAAAGAGCGUCUUUGCCAAACUCAUGAAAAUUGUGCCUGCCACUUUCAUGCCUAUGGGCCAGUUUUGUGACCUGCGCCGCUGACCAUCCUAAGAACCAGGUCUUGGCCUUCCCUCUGAGCACCGAUAGAGGUCCCCAAGGCUCUCUGGCCUGAGGAGGGUGUGGGGUCUGCCCAGCCCCAAGCAGAGAGCACAGCCUGGGCCCCUGACCAACAGCUUUGGCAUUCUGGGUUCCAUGGGGACCCUAGAGCUCAGGCAGAACACCACCACCAUAGCUGCUGCCAGGACGCAGCUGUCUCCCAGGCCCUCCCCACAGCCCAGCUCCCACUGGCGGGAACUGGAGGCAUCUCUGCCCUCCAUGGUCUGCGCUGGUCGUCUCUUGAGUGUUCUCAGGAGCAGAGGCAGCCCCAAGUUCCCACCUGCAAGCCCUGUAACUAAGCUGUCUACAAACCCCAGCAGGGAAGGCCAAGGGAUGGUCUCACCCAUGCUCUUCCCUUUAGCCAACAUGAGUCUUGCAGUGGGGAGCUUAGCCCCUGCUCCCACCUAACACUCUACAGUUAGCACCCAGGGGUUGAUUCUGGAAGUUCUUCCUUUUUCUAGCCUGCAUCCUUCCUGGCCACCCCCUUUAUUUCUCAGUCUGACCUGGUGCACUCUUGGCAAGUGUGUCCACUGCACUCCCAGGUGGAUAUUUAAUGAGCACUCGGACUGUUUCCUCCAAGUCGGCUAGUGGCCUGCCCUCCUCCUUGUCGAGAAGUCUGGGGCACAGAGCCUCCUCUGGCUGCCUCUUCUCUUCUCUGAGCCUCUGGGAGCCUUCAGGCACAACCUGGCAGUUCUCAGGAACCCAGACCUGAGGCUCCAGCUCCACAGCCACCAGAGAUUCAGUGUGCAGUGCCGAAGGCAGUCACCCCCAGGCAGUUCCUGCUUUCAGGCCGCAAGCCUAGAGUGCGGGAUCCCAGCAGCCCAGGGAACAGGGCCGGGGUGUGAGCUGCUGCCAUGGGGUCUGUGGUAGGGCUCCCGAUCUCCCACCCCUCAGCAAGAAGAGUCCUGACCCCACCCUGCCCAGAGAGGAGCUGGGGCCUCCAGACAGACCCCACUCCAGCCAGACGGAGGCCCCUGUCAAAGAAGGGGCAGGCUGGGGGAAAAGCAGAAAGAAUGGCCCCCAAUCCAAACUCUUGGAUCCCCUCCAUGAGAGAGGGGCUCCCCCUGGAAGAGAAGCUCUCAUCCCCAGGCCCAGUGCACAAGACCACCAGCAGAGACCCACCGCCCUUCCUGGCAGAGCCGGCAGCUCCGAGGCACCACUACUCUCCUCCCCUUCCCUUCCCACCCCUCCCCUCCCCUCCCCUCUCCUCCACACCUGCCCUGUUACUCCCACAACUCUGGGCAGCCAGGCCCUCCCCUCCUGCCUCCUGGUCUUCUCUACUCCCUGGUUCUGACCCAUCCCCUGGCCCUGCCCGCUGUCCCCCACCCUGCCCCUGCUGAGUAUCUUCUGCCUCCCCACGCACCCCCUCCCCCAUCUAGGCCAGGUAGGCUCAGGCAUCCCAGGCCUUCCUUAGAAAAGCCGUCUCUCUCAAGUGCAGUGGUCCCACCUCCCAACCCCGUCGCUGCCGCCCACCCCAUAUUAACUGUAAUUUUGUAAGAAGAGUGACUUGUUGGUUUAAUAAAUCUCUAGUUAUUGUAA